RNAcentral lists this ribosomal RNA (257 nucleotides) under uncultured Gardnerella sp. RNAcentral's name for it is "partial 16S ribosomal RNA". It matches the Rfam family "Bacterial small subunit ribosomal RNA", at positions 98 to 354 of the family's 1533-position model. Lineage: Bacteria; Bacillati; Actinomycetota; Actinomycetes; Bifidobacteriales; Bifidobacteriaceae. The record is from RNAcentral.
CGUAACGGGUGAGUAAUGCGUGACCAACCUGCCCCAUGCUCCAGAAUAGCUCUUGGAAACGGGUGGUAAUGCUGGAUGCUCCAACUUGACGCAUGUCUUGUUGGGAAAGUGUUUAGUGGCAUGGGAUGGGGUCGCGUCCUAUCAGCUUGUAGGCGGGGUAAUGGCCCACCUAGGCUUCGACGGGUAGCCGGCCUGAGAGGGCGGACGGCCACAUUGGGACUGAGAUACGGCCCAGACUCCUACGGGAGGCAGCAGGC